UCCGGUUUAACACCGGCAGUCUCCCUAGAGUUCCCGGCAUGACCCGCUGGCAGCUAAGGACAAGGGUUUCGCUCGUUAAGGGACUUAACCCGACAUCUCACGACACGAGCUGACGACAGCCAUGCAACACCUUCGUACGUUCCACCGGUUAAGGUGUCAUUCUACUUUCAUAGAACUAAUCCGUACGCUUCGAGCCCGGGUAAGGUUCUUCGCGUUGCAUCGAAUUAAGCAACAUGCUCCACCGCUUGUGUGAGCCCCCGUCAAUUCCUUUGAGUUUUAGCCUUGCGGCCGUAGUCCCCAGGCGGCGGACUUAAUGCGUUAGCUGCGGCGCCGAGGGGGUCGAUACCCCCGACACCUAGUCCGCAUCGUUUACUGCGUGGACUAC
RNAcentral lists this unclassified non-coding RNA (385 nucleotides) under uncultured Planctomycetota bacterium. Its description in RNAcentral is "uncultured planctomycete contains 16S-23S intergenic spacer region". The record is from RNAcentral. Lineage: Bacteria; Pseudomonadati; Planctomycetota.